CUUAUCACACUUGCACGCGGCUGGCCAAUGGCGCGGCGCGCCCCGGCUCACAUGACGUCUUUCUGUGCGCUCCCUGUCCUCUCAGCGCUCAUUCCCGGCGAGUGCAGGCACCACUGAAGAGCUGGCAUCGGCGGAAUCGGACCACCACCGUCCCUCCCGCGCGGCUGACCUGUCCAGGUGUUAUCAGACGCAAACUUGAUGUCCUCCCGAUGGGACGAAGUGCCCGGCGGUCUCCGAACGCCGCGUCCCCGCUGGAGGAGACUUUUUCUGUGUCCAAACGGACAGACGCGCAUAGACGAGACAAUAACGCCCAGAAGUUCCUGAGAUAAACUGUGAUGAAAGUUGCUGACACAAGUGGAAGAAAUGGAAGAGAACUGUCAGUUUGGGCAAAAACAGCAAGAAGUGGCAGAAGCCCUCCACCUUCCAGGCUGAGCGCAAUGAGGAGACUUAAAAGUGGUUAAGGGUUUUAUCGGUGGGCGAACGCAUGAAAGAGGCGUCAAAGGCAGCUCCCUAAGCCUUUCAUAAUGCGUCCUGAGAGGAGACAAAGGCCUGCGUUCACUGCUGGGUGUCGAUAAGACCUAUCAUUAGUCUGCCAUAGGAGGAGUGAAAGAGGCAGCCAUGCUUGACUCGAAUCGAAUAAAAGCGGAGUGGACCCCCUGCUGCUUUCCCAUCACAGCCGAAUUCACUCAGCUUCCCAGAGCAGGGACAUCCAUGCAUAGCCAUACAUCGUCUGUGUAGUGCGGUCGUGCUCUUCCGUGUACGGCAGCACCUUUAAAGCAGCUUUGGUCCAGACAUGAAGGAGGCACGCAAGCAUACACACGCUCAGCACAAAGGCACCUAGAGGCUGUCUGCGGUCUUCCACCACCCCGCCACUUACACACACACACACACACACACACAAAUCCAGUAACGUGCAGCUGAUAAAGAUGGAGACGCCAUUCCAGCUGUGAGGAGACUGAAAGAGUCACAAAAACACACACAUACACACACACACACACCAAUGCAGCUCCAACACGCAGAGCCUGGGGCGCGUGAGCAGGUGAACAUUAAGUCAAGGCGCUAAACAGAUCACAUCGAGGUAUGAUAUCUGCAGACAUGCAGACAGAGGAGGCCGGCCUGUACCUGCAGGCAGGGAGCAGCAGCCCUCGACUGGAAUUUCCUCCUGCUCCUGGGAGUAGGGUGGGGUGAAGCUCCAGACAAAGGCUUGGACUGGCAAACCUAAAAUUAGCUCCGGUGAUUAAAGGAGUGCAGAAAUCAGAUUGACAGCAGUGGAAAGGUGGAAAUCCUGUACAGAAGAGAAGAGGCACUUUUUUUUUCUUCAUCCACUAAGCUAAUGAAAGGACAAAAACAGAACUAUGUGUUCACACGCUUGUGAAACGGAGCUGAGUUUGGGAGUAAUUUAAUCACCUCCUGUAUGAUUUGUCUGUCUGGAGUUACACGUCUGUUUUGACUGUCCUCAGUAAUAAUUGUGAAACGCUGACAGUACUCAUUACACCGACGAGUUCAGCUAUUUUCUUGCUGAAUUGAAAUGCUCUUCCUAAAUCGUUUUGUUCCCGUCUCUGCCUCCCAACCUUUUUAUCUCCCGACUUCCCGCAUCUUCCACAGCAAAUCUACAUUAAGAGAUUCUAUCUAGGGUUUGCAGAGCUCCUCGUUGGCCAUCGAGCAGAUUCACGGAACCAGUCGGGCACUUCAUUAUUGAUCAGGAGGACACAAACACCAAUUGCUAAACAGCACAAAGCUUGUAGUUCACCUACUGCUCAGAUUUGUUUCGGUUCGCUGCCCCUUUAGUCCGAUUUCUUCAUGUUUGUUUUUGAAAAUGAGGCGUUGUGAGCCAUGAGAAAGAUCGACUGCGUUCUGUUAUCUGCAUUUUAUUAUCACUAUUAUUAUUAUUAUUAAUUGUGUUUUAAAGCUCUCUAUAUUUAGCCUGGCUCUCAGCUCUCCCCGAUUAUAUAAAAAUGAUUCAGUGGUUAAAUGUCAGAGCUGUCUGUGCCAUUAAGGCCAGUACGUUUGAAGGAAGGACGCCCUCCCCUUCUUCUUCCUCUGUCUCUUCUUAUUUCUCUCACUCCCCGUUAGCUUCCACAUCACACACACACACGCACACACACACACACCCCCCUCCCGACACUCAGCCUGGGCUGGUUUGGGGCUGAUGUGCAGACCUUGUCAUUCAGAUUAAGGCCACAUUGUCAGCUCAGGGCUCUUCUCUCUUUAGUUGCGUGUCCCGGAUUUUUCUUUCCCACUGUCGGAACAGACCCGCAGCCAGAAAAGACCUUAUAAAAACUACAUUCCUUCUCAUCCACUUCUGUCAAUUCCAACACUGUCAGUCAAAUCACAGUAGCUGGGGGGGGACACGAUGACGAGAGUCUGUUAGCAGCGUUACUCAAAGCCAGAGCUGCUCGAGCUCAUCAUCAGCUAAGAAAGGAUUAUAUUUUUUAAACUUAAAUAUGCAUUUUAUUUUAUUAAUUUAUUUUUAGUUUUUGCUAUGAAGCAUAAAAAGGUUUCAGAAGAUACAAGAAAGAUGACACAGCAAAAUCAUGUGAUCAGGAGCGCAGAGACGGCAAACUCUCCUUCACAAGAGGGAACGCUUUGUAGUAAAGUCUCGCAGUUAUUUUUAAAUCAAAGUUUUAAAUGUGUAAGGAGGAUUUGUCAGGUGACACAUCCACCAGAUAAUCUAAGUCACUCCUUAUCCCGCUCCGAAGCAUCACAACACAGUGUUUAAUCGCCCAACCGCAUCUUGACUCACCGCCACAGUUUCCAUCACGUCAUGCCUAAUUGCUCUUUGGUAUUUUGAUCUUCAUAUUCCUCACCAACUAACUGAACAGCUGCAUUUUUUUAUCCCUCAAAAUGAGCAGCGACUCUGUGCUGUGUAUGGUGGUGGACGCAGUGAGGAAAAGAACAAACCAAACUGAUGAGUUUUUAGAUUCGGGGCCACGUCAUAACAAAACAGCAAACCCUUGGUUUUGUGAGUGAGUCGGCAGUUUCGUGCCUUCCUCAUCCACCGUGCAUGAAGCCUCUGAGGCAUGGCGCUGCUCCUCUAGAGGCCGAGCAGUUGUGCUUCAAAACACUUCUCGACAAACUGGUUGCAGCCGCAGUCCAGGUGUUUACCCAAACCCACUAUGAGUCAGGAGUUUCAAGAUGACUUCCUUGGUUUAACUGCUACUUGUGUUCCCAGACGCUCAUCAGUGGUGUAAUGUCGACCAUGUGUCAUGGAGGUAGAUUAUGUUCACGUCACAGUUGGUUUUUUUUCUUCAUCUAGGAGUCUAAGUUGAGGUGAGUCAAAAUGAUUCCUUUUUUUUACAAGAGCUGUGGUAAAACAGACCCCCGGAGGAGGAACUAUCUUCAUUAUGAAAUCAGCCAAAGAUGUCUUAUUUUUGUUUUGUGCAAGACCAUUCUUACGUUUCUUCUUUAUGAAUUUUGAAGUGAUAAAUUCACAAAAUAAAUGUUUUAUUUUUAUUAUUUUCCCGUGUAAAGCAUUUCUGAUGUUUACCUCUAAUCGUUACAACUGUAAACGUGUUAUCGUCGUGGUUUGAUUCCACUUUAAGGACAUCUUGUGGUGAUUUAAUGUUUGGCCUUGAGUGUUCGGAGCUUCUACGCCCACGGAGAAGACGAGCUUCAUCUUUAUCUCUAAGCAGACCGCCGUCCCCCGGUCACCAUCAGGUCUUUUCUUGCCCCGGUGAACAUUCAACGCUGUCGGUGAGUUUGAGCUAAAUUAAAGUAAACCAUCGACCGUUGACUGUACCCCGUGGCCAGUCUGUCACUGUCGGAGAAAAGACAGAGAGGAGUCCAAAAUACGCAGAACCCUCUGAGCAGGCAGAGCGAAUGACUUCUUGCUGAAAUAAAAUAAUCACAAGUGUAUCGCCUGGUUCACCUCCGACGUCCAAGUCACAGCAAAAGGUCACAAUCAACAUUCAUUGCUGUCGGUGGGUUUAACUGUGUGGAAGAGCUCACUGAACGAUGAAUGCAACUGUGUCCCAGAUUUCAGCCAACCGUCAACGGGGAGCAUUGUCACAACAUGCUGAUGGUGGCGUUCUUUCAUCCGCCUGUCUCUUUUUCAUGCCUACGCUCAGCAGCAUCCGCGCUGCUGGAGGAAACCAACUUCUUGACGGCUUGGUUAAAAGACAGAGAGGGAGGGACAUAAUGGGCCAAUAUUAUGAAUUAGUUAAUCAUGUGAUGAACAAAAUGCGAUGAAAAUAAAAAAGUGAUGAAUGUGUUUGUGUAUUUAUUGUGUUGUUUUUGUAUCUUGAUGUAAAAUAACCAUAUGAUUAAAUUAAAUGUCUGAUUUCAGCCUCA
Long non-coding RNA from Nothobranchius furzeri (turquoise killifish), 4290 nucleotides. RefSeq lists it as uncharacterized. NCBI's taxonomy places the organism in Eukaryota, Metazoa, Chordata, Actinopteri, Cyprinodontiformes, Nothobranchiidae. The record is from RefSeq and is a predicted model, not a curated record.